This is a non-coding RNA of Prionailurus viverrinus (fishing cat), 1589 nucleotides long. The record is from the annotation of a RefSeq genome assembly. NCBI's taxonomy places the organism in Eukaryota, Metazoa, Chordata, Mammalia, Carnivora, Felidae.
CAGUCCAGCUCCAACCCUGCAGCUGGGAGAGGAGCCCCAGCCCCGGGAGUCCCAGGUGUUCCCAUUCUGUGAUCAGCACAGAACAUAGACACCUCACCAUGGAGUUUGUGCUUGGCUGGGUUUUCCUUGUUGCUCUUUUAAAAGGUGUCCAGUGUGACGUGCAGCUGGUGGAGUCUGGGGGAGACCUGGUGAAGCCUGGGGGGUCCCUGAGACUCACCUGUGUGGCCUCUGGAUUCACCUUCAGUAGCUAUAGCAUGCACUGGGUCCGCCAGGCUCCAGGGAAGGGGCUGCAGUGGGUCGCAUACAUUUAUGAUGAUGGAAGUAGCACAAGCUACGCAGACUCCGUGAAGGGCCGAUUCACCAUCUCCAGAGACAACGCCAAGAACACGCUGUAUCUGCAGAUGAACAGCCUCAAGACCGAGGACACGGCCACAUAUUACUGUGCAGAUCCCCAUUGGUUCAACUACUGGGGCCCCGGGACCCCGGUCACCGUGUCUUCAGAGUCCAAAACCAGCCCCCGUGUCUUCCCGCUGAGCCUCAGGACCAGUGACCCAGCCGAGCAAGUGGUCAUUGCCUGCCUGGUGCAAGGGUUCUUCCCGCCGGAGCCCGUGAGAGUGACUUGGAGCCCCAGCAAGGAAGGCGCGUCCAUCCGGAACUUCCCCGCAGUGAAGUCUGCUUCCGGGAACCUGUACACCACGAGCAGCCAGCUGACCCUGCCGGCUAGCCAGUGCCCCGAUGGCGCGUCCCUGCAAUGCCAAGUGGAGCACUAUUCCAGCACCAGCCCGCCCGUGUCUGUGCCCUGCAGAGUUCCAGUUGGCCCCCCUCCUCAGUGUUCCCCGUGCAAUGAACCCCGCCUGUCACUACACAAGCCCGCCCUCGAGGACCUGCUUCUGGGCUCCAAUGCCAGCAUCACGUGCACACUGAGCGGCCUGAAAAACCCCAAGGGUGCCCUGUUCUCCUGGACACCUUCAGGGGGGAAGGAGGCCAUCCAGAAGCCCCCAGAGCAUGACUCCUGCGGCUGCUACAGUGUGUCCAGUGUCCUUCCAGGCUGCGCUGAGCCAUGGAACCACGGGGAGAACUUCUCCUGCACCGCCACCCAUCCCGAGCUCAAAACGCCAAAAACUGACACCAUCUCCAAAGUCCUAGAGAACACUUUCCGGCCCCAGGUCCACCUGCUGCCGCCGCCGUCGGAAGAGCUGGCCCUCAAUGAGCUGGUGUCGCUGACGUGCCUUGUGCGAGGCUUCAGCCCCAAGGAUGUGCUGGUUCGUUGGCUGCAAGGAUCCCAGGAGCUGUCCCGGGAGAAGUACCUGACCUGGGGCCCCCUGCAGGAGCCCGACCAGAGCAUCCCCACCUUCGCCACGACCAGUGUGCUGCGAGUGUCGGCCGAGGACUGGAAGCAGGGGGAGAAGUUCUCCUGCAUGGUGGGGCACGAGGCCCUGCCCCUGGCCUUCACCCAGAAGACCAUCGACCGCCUGGCGGGUAAACCCACCCACGUCAACGUGUCUGUGGUCAUGUCGGAUGUGGAAGGCGUCUGCUACUGAACUGCCUACCUGCCCCUCCCUGAAUAAACUCCGUACUGGCCCAAAGCA